GACGAACGCUGGCGGCGUGCUUAACACAUGCAAGUCGAACGGAAAGGCCCUGCUUUUGUGGGGUGCUCGAGUGGCGAACGGGUGAGUAACACGUGAGUAACCUGCCCUUGACUUUGGGAUAACUUCAGGAAACUGGGGCUAAUACCGGAUAGGAGCUCCUGCUGCAUGGUGGGGGUUGGAAAGUUUCGGCGGUUGGGGAUGGACUCGCGGCUUAUCAGCUUGUUGGUGGGGUAGUGGCUUACCAAGGCUUUGACGGGUAGCCGGCCUGAGAGGGUGACCGGCCAAAUGGGGACUGAGAUACGGCCCAGACCCCUCCGGGAGGCAGCAGUGGGGAAUAUUGCACAAUGGGCGGAAGCCUGAUGCAGCAACGCCGCGGGCGGGAUGACGGCCUUCGGGUUGUAAACCGCUUUAGCCUGUGACGAAGCGUGAGUGACGGUAAUGGGUAAAGAAGCACCGGCUAACUACGUG
Molecule: ribosomal RNA, 468 nt
Filed under: uncultured bacterium
Lineage: Bacteria
Description: partial 16S ribosomal RNA
Rfam family: Bacterial small subunit ribosomal RNA
Source: RNAcentral